GGAUAGCUCAGUCGGUAGAGCAUGAGGCUCUUAAUCUCAGGGUUGUGGGUUCGAGCCUCAUGUUGGACA
Molecule: transfer RNA, 69 nt
Filed under: Podarcis lilfordi (Lilford's wall lizard)
Lineage: Eukaryota; Metazoa; Chordata; Lepidosauria; Squamata; Lacertidae
Description: tRNA.Lys
Rfam family: tRNA (bases 4-61)
About the family: Transfer RNA (tRNA) molecules are approximately 80 nucleotides in length. Their secondary structure includes four short double-helical elements and three loops (D, anti-codon, and T loops). Further hydrogen bonds mediate the characteristic L-shaped molecular structure. tRNAs have two regions of fundamental functional importance: the anti-codon, which is responsible for specific mRNA codon recognition, and the 3' end, to which the tRNAs corresponding amino acid is attached (by aminoacyl-tRNA synthetases). tRNAs cope with the degeneracy of the genetic code in two manners: having more than one tRNA (with a specific anti-codon) for a particular amino acid; and 'wobble' base-pairing, i.e. permitting non-standard base-pairing at the 3rd anti-codon position.
Source: RNAcentral